Small nuclear RNA from Loxodonta africana (African savanna elephant), 107 nucleotides. Lineage: Eukaryota; Metazoa; Chordata; Mammalia; Proboscidea; Elephantidae. The record is from Ensembl.
GUGCUUGCGUCGGCAGCAAAUAUAAUAAAAUUGGAAUGAUACAGAGAAGAUUAGCGUGACCCCUGUGCAAGGAUGACACGGGAAUUCUCAAAACAUUCCGUGUUUUU